AGCAGCCGCGGUAAUUCCAGCUCCAAUAGCGUAUAUUAAAGUUGUUGCAGUUAAAAAGCUCGUAGUUGAACUUCGGGGUCUACCCAUUGGUCAGGCUUAAUUGUCUGUACUGGUGAGAUGGAUCUCUACCUUCUGAGGAACUUUCAUGCCAUUUAUUUGGUGUGAUGGGAAAUCAGGACUGUUACUUUGAAAAAAUUAGAGUGUUUAAAGCAGACUAUCGUCUGAAUACAUUAGCAUGGAAUAAUGAAAUAGGACGGACUGAUUCUAUUUCGUUGGUUUCUAGGAUCACCGUAAUGAUUAAUAGGGAUAGUUGGGGGCAUUAGUAUUCAAUUGUCAGAGGUGAAAUUCUUGGAUUUAUUGAAGACUAACUACUGCGAAAGCAUUUGCCAAGGAUGUUUUCAUUAAUCAAGAACGAAAGUUAGGGGAUCGAAGACGAUCAGAUACCGUCGUAGUCUUAACCAUAAACUAUGCCGACUAGGGAUCGGACGAAGUUAAUUUUAUAAUGACGCGUUCGGCACCUUACG
This 524-nucleotide ribosomal RNA is filed under the name uncultured Diversisporaceae. Its description in RNAcentral is "SSU rRNA". It matches the Rfam family "Eukaryotic small subunit ribosomal RNA", at positions 569 to 1092 of the family's 1831-position model. Lineage: Eukaryota; Fungi; Glomeromycota; Glomeromycetes; Diversisporales. The record is from RNAcentral.